GAAUGAAUACUAUUAAUUUAUUCAGAAAUAUGAAAUUUCCUGAUAUAAAAUAUUUAUAAUAAUACAAUAAUUUGAAAACUAAUUAUCUAACAACCAGGCCAAGGAAAUAAGUAACAUUACUAAAGACAAUAGUAGAAAUUAAAAAAAAAAGUAGAAUUAAAGAUUACUAAAGGGUUAAAAAAAACUAAGGUGAAAAGUGAGGAAGACAAAAUUAACAGACGAUAGGAAAGCUUCAAAUACCUACAUUAUUCUAGAAAUUCUGAUUUCCUCCUAGAGUCCUGGCUCAGAAUAUUGGGUAAUAUAGGCUUCAAGAACUUGAAAUCAUUACUUUCAGAGCCUCCUGUCAGACACACCUCGUACUGGUAGCUCUGGGAUAGGGUCCCGGUGCCGCUCACGUCCACCAGAUGCCCUGGAAAGGGGCCCUUGGGCACCGAACAGCGACCUACCGAGGCCGCCCUGCUCCUCCUGCACAGCCGCACCGCCACGAACAGGAGCACCGACAAGAGGAAGAGCGAAGACACCGAGGCCAAAGCCACCACCAGGUAGACGGUAAGCGAGUCGGCCUGGGCCUGGGCCGGGGCCGCCUCUGGGAGAGGCAGGUAGGGCUGGGAGAAGCCGUCCACUAGGAGCAAGUGCAGCGUGGUGGUGGCCGAGAGCGGAGGCUCGCCAUUGUCCUUGACCAGCACCGCCAGCCUGUGCUUGGCCGCGUCAGCCGCUCAGCAGCCUGGCGGUGCGCACCUCGCCAUUGUGCGCCCACACGCCGAACAGCCCGGGCUCCGUGGCCUUGAGCAGCUGGUACGACAGCCAGGCGUUCUGGCCCGAGUCGCCGUCCACCGCCACCACCUUGGUCACCAGGUAGCCUGGCUCGGCCGCCCGGGGCAUCAGCUCGGUGCAGGGCGCGGAGCCGUUUUGCAGCGGGUACAGCACGAAGGGCGAGUUGUCGUUGGCGUCCAGCACCAGCACGCGCACCAGCGCCUCGCUGCUCAGCUCUGGGGACCCGCGGUCUGUGGCGCCCACGCGGAACUCGAACUCCUGCAGGGUCUCGUAGUCCAGCGAUCGGAGGGCGAACAGGUGGCCGUUGUCUGUGUUGAUGGAGACCAGGGAGGCGAGGGGCAGGUGCGGGUCCUGGGGCGGCAGCAGCGAGUAGGUGACCUGGGCGUUGGUGCCUGAGUCUCUGUCUGUGGCGCUGACGCUGCCGAUGUGCAGCGCGGGGCUGUUGUUCUCGCGGACGAACAGGGUGUAGGAGGUUUGGGUGAAGGCGGGGGCGUUGUCAUUGACGUCGGAGACCAGCACGGUUAUGCAGUGCUCGGUUUUCAGCCUUGGAGUCCCCAAGUCUGUGAUGGUGAUGGUGAUGUUGUACUGGGCUCUGUUCUCUCUGUCCAGCGCCCCUUCUGUUACCAGCCUGUAGAAAUUCUCAACAGACGGUUUUAGCUUAAAAGGAACACCAUCCUGAAUUGAGCAAAUCAUUUUUCCAUUUUCCCCAGAGUCUCGGUCUCGAAUCCUAAACAGGGCCACUUCUGUCUCUGGAGAAUUCUCGGGAAUAGGGCUGGUAAGUGAUGAAAUACUUAGUUCCGGGAAGUUAUCGUUAACAUCUAGCACCUUAACAGAGACAGAGCAUUUUCCAGAAAGUCCCCCGCCAUCAGAUGCCUCUAUAUCUAGAUCAUAUGAGGAUAUUGUCUCAAAAUCUAGUUUUUUAAUUAGUCGAAUUUCUCCUGAAAGGCUGCUUAGCUCAAAAGGUUCGUUUAUCUCCUGAGAGCUGUAAGAAAUGGAAUAUGAUAUCUCUCCAUUCGGCCC
Macaca fascicularis (crab-eating macaque) is the source of this 1794-nucleotide long non-coding RNA. The record is from Ensembl. Lineage: Eukaryota; Metazoa; Chordata; Mammalia; Primates; Cercopithecidae.